This 72-nucleotide transfer RNA is filed under the name Ictidomys tridecemlineatus (thirteen-lined ground squirrel). RNAcentral's name for it is "Spermophilus tridecemlineatus (thirteen-lined ground squirrel) tRNA". It matches the Rfam family "tRNA". From Rfam's summary of the family: Transfer RNA (tRNA) molecules are approximately 80 nucleotides in length. Their secondary structure includes four short double-helical elements and three loops (D, anti-codon, and T loops). Further hydrogen bonds mediate the characteristic L-shaped molecular structure. tRNAs have two regions of fundamental functional importance: the anti-codon, which is responsible for specific mRNA codon recognition, and the 3' end, to which the tRNAs corresponding amino acid is attached (by aminoacyl-tRNA synthetases). tRNAs cope with the degeneracy of the genetic code in two manners: having more than one tRNA (with a specific anti-codon) for a particular amino acid; and 'wobble' base-pairing, i.e. permitting non-standard base-pairing at the 3rd anti-codon position. Lineage: Eukaryota; Metazoa; Chordata; Mammalia; Rodentia; Sciuridae. The record is from Rfam by way of RNAcentral.
GGGGUUGUGGCUCAGUGGUAGAGUGCUUACCUAGCAUGUGUGAGGCACUGGGUUUGAUUCUCAGCACCACCU